UAAAGGUAAAAAACUGAGUGAUGGAGAGCACUUAAUUGUGUUUGUUGGGAUGCAUUGAUUUGAUGUCUUUACAGGAUAUCAAAUCCUCCACUCACAUCAGAUAUCCACUAACAGCUUGGGACAAAGCAGUGCUGCCUAUUGUCUUGUAUAUGUGGCCAACUUUGUGCCUUAAGUGUGGACUUGUGUGCGAGUGUGUGUGUUUCAAAAGUAGGACAGCAAUGGUAUAAGCUAGUGAAAGCAAGUAGCCAUCUCCAAGACUCCUCCUGCUCUUUAAGUAGUUUGAGUAAGAACAAGCAGAGUUAGGACUUUUUGACCAACUAAAUGGUAUAGAAUAGAACUGAGGUUGGGGACAGGGACAGUAGUUUCUUUAUAAUUGAUGAUUAAACACUCGGAGAGUCCAAGUUACUUCUUCAAAACAGCGUCACCUAUUGCACUCACCCCUUCCACCCCUGCACUCUGGUAAAUGGGACUCAUAACCCCUCUGGCUUGUGCUUGUUAACCCUGACUGCAGCGACUCAGUACACGAGGGAGAGCACUGAAUGCUUUGGCAAGUACGUUUAAAUUUUUCAUUUAAUUUUUUGCAUAGGUAAUUUAUGUAGUUCAAAGGUACAAAGGCUAUAUAAUGAAAAAUCAUUCAGCUCCCCUCCCUAGAGGCAACCAGUGUUUUGAGUAUCCUACAGAUAAUCUGCUUACACAGACACACACACAUUUUUUUUGCCCUUUUUAAAACAAACGACAGCAAAUUGUGUAGAUAAUUCCUGUACUUUCUUCUCUUAUUGUAUUUUCAAGAAUGUUUCAAAUCAGGCACAUGAUCCAUUUGUGGCCAAUGAAUGAGACUUGGUUUAGACCUUGCAAGAGAGGAGGGAUGUUUCCUCUACAUCUAAUGCUGGGGAGGUUCACGUUUAUAGAUGCUAAAGACAUUUUUUAUUCAUUCAUUCAUUCAUUCAUUCAUUCAUUUGCCAAGUAUUUGGUAAGCACCCACUUUACUACAAGAAGAGAAAUGUAAAGAUAAUAGACGAAGAGGAGCAGCCAAGUUGAGAGAGAGA
Molecule: long non-coding RNA, 1046 nt
Organism: Phyllostomus discolor (pale spear-nosed bat)
Lineage: Eukaryota; Metazoa; Chordata; Mammalia; Chiroptera; Phyllostomidae
Exons: 2
Source: RefSeq, a predicted model, not a curated record